Metopolophium dirhodum (rose-grain aphid) is the source of this 699-nucleotide long non-coding RNA. RefSeq lists it as uncharacterized. Lineage: Eukaryota; Metazoa; Arthropoda; Insecta; Hemiptera; Aphididae. The transcript is spliced from 5 exons. The record is from RefSeq and is a predicted model, not a curated record.
AUCGUUAUGAAUUAAUUAAUUUGUUUAUACAAACGCGGAUAAGAUUAUAGUGAAAACCGUUCGCACACGCACACGCACACGAGACACUAAUAAUAAUUUAGGUCUGGAGAGUUAUAUUAUUUUAAAGCGGUAUACCAUCCUUCGCGGACGAACGUUACUGGUGACGUCGAUGGGAUCGCCGUUUAAGAUGGGUACCUAUGUAGGAUACGCAGAACAUAUAGAAUAGGUACGGAAGUCGGCGGUUUGGAAAACACAAAUUUGGCGAACACCCCCGGCCACAGAUCGUGUUUUCAUAAUCGAUUGAAAACAAAUUGCGAACCAAUAUUCAAUUCGAGAUUUAAAAACAAUGGUGUGCGUGGCCGGACUGAGCGUUAUGCCAAACUUCCCAUCAUGACACUAUCACAAACGAGUGAUUCGUUUUACCCUCGUGGACGAACGUUACUGCAGGUGACGUCGAUGGGAUCGCCGUUUAAGAUGAGUACCUAUAUAGGAUAUUAUGUAGAACAUAAGAAUAGGUACGGAAGUCGACGGUUUGGAAAACAUAAAUUUGGCGAACACCUCCGCCCACAGAUAGACCUUGUUCUGCGGAAACGUUGAAAUUGUGAAUUAUAUUUGCACCGAACAGAUAGAGCAUCCAAUAGGAAAGCGUGUCUCCGACACAAGCUCUCUUACCUGAAAACAGCGCAUUGCAUAUUGACA